AAGACCUUCAACAUUUUGGUACGGGGCCGGAGGAAUCGCAAACAAACUCUAAGAAUGCCUAUAAGUUUGCUCAAGAGACCAUAUUCUUCUCAGCCCUUCAAAGCUGUAUAUAGCAGGGUAAUAAGGGAGACUGAGGUUCCCAGCUCUACCAGCUUUGAUCCACAUGAACAUGGCAUAACGACUGCUACUUGAGGCUGUUUCUAUGUCUUUUACGAGAUAAUACUAGCAGAAUGGUCUAUUGAAGCUGAGUAUACAUAUCUGUUGGUCGUAUAUCAUGACUGCUGGACUUUAUUGCUGUUUCUAUGUCUUUU
Molecule: unclassified non-coding RNA, 311 nt
Filed under: Hevea brasiliensis (rubber tree)
Lineage: Eukaryota; Viridiplantae; Streptophyta; Magnoliopsida; Malpighiales; Euphorbiaceae
Source: RNAcentral